This is a long non-coding RNA of Triticum aestivum (bread wheat), 1174 nucleotides long. RefSeq lists it as uncharacterized. The transcript is spliced from 6 exons. The record is from RefSeq and is a predicted model, not a curated record. Lineage: Eukaryota; Viridiplantae; Streptophyta; Magnoliopsida; Poales; Poaceae.
UUGCCGCCGCCGCCUCCACCUCCUCUCCUGCCGCUGCCGCCGCCUUAGCCUCGGCCGGGCCGUGUUCUGUCGGCACCCGUCGGCCUUGAUCCGGCCUCGCAGGAGGAGCUCGCCCUCGAGGAGGACUCGACAGGAGGAGGGGAGUAGUGCCUCUUCUCCUCCCCUUCGCUUCUCUCCUCCCCACGUUCUAGAUCGGGCACAAGUCACCACCAUACAAGAGCAUGGGUUGCAUGAUCUUCAUGGUUGGCGUGGUGGAGCAAGGAGGGAGGUGGAUAGCGAUGGGGGAAGGAGAAGCAAGGUUGGAGCUCCAGGCUCUACGUUGGCGUGCCGCUGGAGUGGAUGAGUGGUCAUUCGUUGCGCGCCGGCCGUCGUCCCCGUCCCCAAUCUGGGCUGCCUAUGUUUUACUGUUGUUCUCUGCAAAAUCAGCGUGAGUGCUUGAUGUUACCUCCAUCAGCUGAUGAGGCGAGGCUGCUGCUGCUGAAAAAUGGUGCUGCUACCGGAGGCAGUGGAGAGGCUUUCCGUGGACCAACUAUGGUGUGGUUCAGAUAGUCCAAGGAUUGGAAACUAUAACCUUGUCAAAUUCUACACAUAGCCAUUAUGACGACACAUUUAUGCGAUAGAUUGUCAAUAUUUAAGUUGAUACACUAAAGACGGAGAUGUGGAAAGCUUGCCACGGAGGCACACAGGCUUGCUGAUUCUGUUUUGGAUUUGUCCUUGAGAGGAGGCCGAAGCAAACUUCAACAGGCAUCAGUAAAAUCCAUGCUUCUAGCGUAUGUAGACGCCUCUGGCGUCGAACUGAAGAGACGAGGAAGAAAGGGGAUACACAAGCUCGUUGGAUCCACUCGCUGCCGCUUCAUAUUCAGCUCUUCACGGGUCACGACUGUCGCUAUUCGUGGGCCGGGCUAAAUAACAUAUGGGCCAUCGAAAUACUUAUCUCCAUAUACGCAGAACAGAAAGAUCAAAAAUCUCACAAUGGAAGACAUGGACAUUGGUAUCGUCUGUGACGACGGUUCCCCAGGAUCAGCAGCAUCAAGGACAGCAACGCCUGCGCCCAUUGUAAUCUUCUAAUCACCAGUUGUAGUUCAGUCAUUGGUCUUUAUAAACUUGGCUUUCAGUUUUGCUCCAUCGCCGGCUUAUUUGCCUUGCUUCUGUAUUCUUGGAAGAGUGAAUAAAA